UACGUAGGGUGCAAGCGUUGUCCGGAAUUAUUGGGCGUAAAGAGCUCGUAGGCGGUUUGUUGCGUCGGCUGUGAAAUCCCGAGGCUCAACCUCGGGUCUGCAGUCGAUACGAGCAAACUAGAGUGUUGCAGGGGAGACUGGAAUUCCUGGUGUAGCGGUGAAAUGCGCAGAUAUCAGGAGGAACACCGGUGGCGAAGGCGGGUCUCUGGGCAACAACUGACGCUGGAGGAGCGAAAGCCGUGGGGAGCGAACAGG
This 255-nucleotide ribosomal RNA is filed under the name uncultured bacterium. RNAcentral describes it as "partial 16S ribosomal RNA". It matches the Rfam family "Bacterial small subunit ribosomal RNA", at positions 524 to 776 of the family's 1533-position model. The record is from RNAcentral.